CGAAUCCUUAUUUGCUUAAAAGGUUGGGAUUUUACUUCCCAAAUUCGUCUCAACGAAUUGGUUUUUAAACUUUUGGCUAAUUUUGGAUCAUCCUUUGUCAAUUUUGUAAUUUUCUGAAAACUUUAUCUAAAGCGCUUGGGCUGCUGUUGAGAAAUCUUAGCAUAAUUGCUGUUAAUGUUUGGGAAAUUCUCUACUGCCUUUUAUAGUCUGCACAAGUGUGAGUUCCUCACUUCCUUGUAGUGUUUGUGAAAUCUUAUUUUAUGAUUUUUAUAGAUGUUUCUUAAGACAUCUCUUCUCAUUCCUUGUAUUGAAUUCAAAUAAAAACUUAAACCGAUAGAGUAAUGCAAGGGAAAAAAAAUGUUUAGAUGUUGGGUUGGUGCCCAUGAUCUUGGAUAUGAGAUUGCUUCCUGUUUUAUUGCCUUGGUUCAUGCUAAAUGCCAAUGUUGGGUUUCUAUAGAAACGUUUUCAGCAUCAUUCCCUAUGAUGACCGCAUAGAUAAUUGGGAAAAUACAAUUUUUUUACAACAGUUUUUCUUCCCAUUUUUGUUCUUUUUUCUCGUGCUCUGUUUUUUUUCUUCUAACCCCUUUGCUGCAUACUUUCUAUUGGCCACGAUUGUGUCUCCUUUCCUG
RNAcentral lists this unclassified non-coding RNA (629 nucleotides) under Hevea brasiliensis (rubber tree). Lineage: Eukaryota; Viridiplantae; Streptophyta; Magnoliopsida; Malpighiales; Euphorbiaceae. The record is from RNAcentral.